Molecule: long non-coding RNA, 1094 nt
Organism: Ictalurus punctatus (channel catfish)
Lineage: Eukaryota; Metazoa; Chordata; Actinopteri; Siluriformes; Ictaluridae
Source: Ensembl
AGAGAGAGAGAGAGAGAGAGAGAGAGAGAGAGAGAGAGAGAGAGAGAGAGAGAGAGAUUCUUUAAUUAUUGCAGGAAAUGGGAUUCCUUCUCAGCACCGACAAUGACAUAGUGGAAGUCGAUCAGUUGCACCUGAGAUUUUCUUCAUUUUAAACACGCAUAACAUCACAAAAUAAAUAAAUAAAAUAAAUAAAUAAAUCAACUAAAGCUGAAAAUAAGAUCAGAUGCCUUUUUAUUACACACAGGACCAUUUCCCCAACACUGGGAACAAGGUUAUUUUGGUUCUCAGCAGAUUAACCUCUUAAUUAAACAAAUGACAAUUUAACAAAUUAAACCUGAAAAACAACGACAACAACAACAACAAAAAUAGUCAUGAAAUAAACAGUACAUUUACCAACCAAUGUUUCAUAUAUAAAAACAAAGCAAGCUUAAUAAAUAUUAUGAACAAAAAAAAACAACAACUAAGAAGUAAACAAUUAAUGCACAAUAUUAAUUUUUGGGCAAAUUUACAAAUAGUACAUUUAUAAGGAUUUGGUUUAGUAAAAGAAUCGUAGGCCAUUUGUUCAUUAUUUCCAUAAAUAACCCUAAUGUUAAUGCGAGGCUUGCAGAAACCAGGCAAUUCAGUCUAAACCCAAAUACUGUUAUUAUACGUUCAGUGUCUUGAAUUAGCUCCAAAAAUUCCUAAAGUGGUUCCGAAUAAGUGCUGAUCUGCGAUCAGGCGAGUCUCCGUUAGAUCCAAAACGAGUGGGAGAUGCAUGUCGAGAACACUGCAGUGUUACACAGCUCGAGAGUAAAGCCUUUCUGGGGACCUUUCUCCCAGUUAGUUCAGAACGUAAAACCUGACCACGCCCUUCAGUCUUAAAGCAAAAAAAACCUCAUGACAAAGUUUAAUAAAGGAUAAAGAAAUUCGCUCGUCACUUUCUAUGCGUCGCGUAUGGAAUCCUGACGAUCUCUAGUUUCGGUUCCGCUCAUAUCGUUGAUACUAAAGAGAAAGAAGCUCAUGAGUUCUGCUCAUUGGUUAGAGUGCAUUCAUGUGGCAAGCAAGUCAGUCCUAUCAGGCUGAGAGUGUGCUGCUGGCGGAGUGACGAAGUGGCG